This 263-nucleotide ribosomal RNA is filed under the name uncultured bacterium. RNAcentral's name for it is "partial 16S ribosomal RNA". It matches the Rfam family "Bacterial small subunit ribosomal RNA", at positions 793 to 1055 of the family's 1533-position model. The record is from RNAcentral.
GUCCACGCCCUAAACCAUGUCAACUAGUUGUCGGGAGAGCAAUCUCUUGGUAACGCAGCUAACGCGUGAAGUUGACCGCCUGGGGAGUACGGUCGCAAGAUUAAAACUCAAAGGAAUUGACGGGGACCCGCACAAGCGGUGGAUUAUGUGGAUUAAUUCGAUGCAACGCGAAAACCUUACCUACCCUUGACAUGUACCGAACCCCGAUGAGAGUCGGGGGUGCCCGAAAGGGAGCGGUAACACAGGUGCUGCAUGGCUGUCGU